This 6571-nucleotide long non-coding RNA is filed under the name Sorghum bicolor (sorghum). RNAcentral describes it as "long non-coding RNA (SBIC_LNC000012)". The record is from RNAcentral. Lineage: Eukaryota; Viridiplantae; Streptophyta; Magnoliopsida; Poales; Poaceae.
GGUUGGUGGGCCCCCGUCGCACUGCGCUAUAAAUAAGAGGUGGGGGCCGGCGGCACUGUUCACGAGUUGAACUGUGGCCACUCCUCCCACCGACAUCCAAACCCGAGAAAAUCCUAAUCCGAUCUAGGGUGCGCAGCCAGCGGCGGGAAUACUCACCGACAUCGGAUCCACGGCGUCCCGACGUCCGCACCGACACCACCGUCAGCGUCAUCGCGGAUCUUCAUCACCAGCGACGUCAUGGCUUCGGGAUCGACCUCCGCCGCGCCUGCUGCUCCUUCCGUCGAUGGUCUAACCCUAUCAACCCGAUCUAUUUAUUCUUUUGCAUUUACAGUACUUGUAGUAGAUCUCGUAUAAGAUAUGCUUUUGUUGUUUACAAAAGAAAAGAUAUGUCCCGUCUAGAUCUAUUACUAGUUGAUCCUGUACAGUUUUAAUCUAUCAAUGGUAUCAGAUCGCCUAACUAGUUAGUGGAUCCAGAUCGGGAUAGAAAGAUCACAGAAAAACCAAACCCUAACUCUAGAACAGAGAACAAAAAAAAAAAAAAAAGAAACAGAGAUCUACGCCGCAAAGACACCACCGCGGGGCUACUCGACGGUGCCGCGCGCGGCUCCGGCCGCACGCGUGCUCCGGCGAGGGGCGCCGCAGCGGCGCUGCUCCACUUCUUCCUCGGGUCCAGUCGCAAAGGGCGACCACAUGCUACUGCUACUCGCUUUUGCGGUAUGGUGGCAGAGAGAACAAGAGAGAGAGGGAGAAGGGUAGCAGCCGGAACAGUCCCGGCGGCGCAACCACCGGCGCCGUGGCCUCCAUGGCCGCCGACGAGUCGGGUGCUGCCCUGGCGGCGCUGUGCAGGAAGAAAGAGAGCAGAGAGAGAAAAUGGAAAACAAAAUGAGCUAGGGUUUGAGGGAGCCGGCCGGCUGGGGGCUUUUAUACCCACCGAUUUUCGCUCUCAGCCGUCGGAUCCAAAUGGAUGGAUCAGAUUCGCUGCCACCGAAUCGGGCCAGAAUCGGCCCAGGCGGGGGCGACUUUCCCGGCCCAGGCCCAGGUUGCGGCCUGGGACCGCGGGGCACCUGCGCUCUGCUCCACUCUUGGGCCGUUUUGGCCACUGGGCCGAGACCAGAUGACAAAAAAAAAAAAAAAAAAAAACCCGGCCGCUGGGCCGCACAGAGCCGGGCCGCGCGCGCGCCAGCCGCUGCUGGGCCGCGUGGGCCGCGAGUGACGCCAGGCCGAAAUGGCCGGUUUUACACAGUAAAAUAGCACAGUUUUUUUUUCUUUUUUCUUUUUCUUUUUCCAGAAGCAGUUUUAUGCAUAUUUAAUUAAAUUUUGCACAGUUUUCAUUGCUUUUCUCUGCAUAAAUUUUGUCCAACGAUAAUUUUAUUCAGAGAACAGUAAGUAUUCAGAUGUUUCUGAAAAAUAGAUAAAGAAAUUAUUAAAGUUUCCGCUGCGUAUUUACAGAUAUUUGUUUCACUAUUAAAUUCGAACCAACGGGAGAAUUUAAUUUUGAAAAUAGAUAUGUUUUCCAGAUUAUUAUAAUAUUGUUAUUAUUCUGACCAACGUUGAUUAAUGGCAGUAUUAUGAUGUAAUUAAAAGAUUAUUAUGCAUUAAUUCUAUUUCUGCCCAACGGUGAUAUAGUUUUAUUGCAUAAACAGUUGUAUGUUUUAAUUUUGACCAACGUUGAUACUAAGGCAUACAAUUGUGAUUAUUCAUGUUCUCACCCAGAGGUUUGUGUUUCAGGAGCUUACUCGUUGAUGACGUUCAUCAACACCAUUCCACCACUCAAAGGGGACAACUACGUUGAGUGGAGGAAAAAGAUCGACAUGGCCUUCACCUUUGCUGAGGUGGACUGGGUCCUUGACACAGAGCGUCCCGUCCAGCCCGUGCCACCUGUGCGGGCAACAGAUGAGACAGAUGAUGCAUGGCAGAAAAGAGAAAGAGAGUUUGCUCCCAUCCAGAUGUCUUAUGACCUUGAAAAGAAAAAGUGGGAAUCAGCAAACAAGAAAUGUAAAACGCUUGUACAGAACACGAUGGAGUCUCACAUAUCAGAUUCCAUUCCAGUAGUAGACAGCGUUAAAGAUUACCUAGAUACUAUAAAGAGGCAGUUUACUGGCUCUACAAAAACGUAUGCAACAGAAAUGAUCAAAGAACUGAUCUCACAGAAAUAUACUGGUGGUGGCACUGGUAUUAGAGAGCACAUCCUUAGAAUGAGUCACUUGGCAUCUAAAAUCAAAAAGUUCAAGGAUCUCACCAUCACUGACGCUUUCCUUGUUCAUUUGGUUUUUGCGUCGUUGCCAAAAGAAUUUGAAACCUUUGUUGUUAACUACAACAUGCAACCAGAAACAUGGGACUUAGAAAAGACUAUUGCUAUGUGUGCUCAAGAAGAAGAGAGAAUCAAAGCCUCAAAUGGUGGUUCAAUCAACCAUUUGAGGGACAACAAGAAAAAGAUUUACCAUUCUCCUUCAAAGAACAAGGGAAAGGGCCCUAUGCAGCAACAGGGCAAGCCUUCCACCCAGCACCAGGGCCAGCCUACCAUGCAGCAUCUUCCUCAACAGAACCAGUUUGUAGUGAACCAAAACCAAUGUCUCUACUGCAAGAAAGAAGGACACUACAAGAAAAGAUGCCCUGAUUGGCUACAAAUGAAACUCAGAUCAUGUGGGGUUCAGCUCGACAAGGACGACAACAAGAAGAGAAAGACACAUUAGAGUGGCGAAUGGAGUCAGAGCAGAUGUUGAAGCUGUUGGCGAUGUCUCCCUGGAGCUUGCUAGUGGCUUCACACUUUUACUUAGAGAUGUCCUUUAUGUUCCUUCGCUUCAGAGAAAUUUGAUUAGUGUUUCACGUUUGGACGAUGAUAAUUUUGCUUGUCAUUUUGGUGAUGGCAAGUGCCAGAUUUAUUGUAAUAAUGACUGUGUUGGUGUUGCAUUCCAACAACAAGAUCUUUAUUUAUUAUCGCUUCGUGAAACAGUGAAUUCCGUAUGUGAUGCUACAGAAAACACGUCCUUGUCUCAGAGUGAGAAUAGAAAAAGAAAGCGAACUCAAGAUGUAUCGUCGAAAUUAUGGCAUUGUCGUUUAGGCCACAUUUCGAGGGGGAGAAUAGAGAUAUUAGUAAAGAAUGAAAUUCUUCCUCCACUUGAGUUCUCAGAAUUAGAUCAAUGCAUAGACUGCAUUAAAGGAAAAUUUGCAAAGAAAAUUAAAAAGAAUGCCAAAAGAAGCACUGGGAUUUUAGAAAUAAUCCACACGGACAUCUGUGGACCGUUUCCUGUGAAAAGUAUGGAUGGCUAUGACUCGUUCAUAACAUUCACAGAUGAUUACUCCCGAUUUGGGUAUAUUUAUCCAAUUAAAGAAAGAACAGAGGCAUUAGAUAAGUUCAAGAUAUUUAAGGCUGAAGUUGAAAAUCAGCACAACUUAAAGAUUAAGAUAGUCAGAUCCGACCGUGGAGGGGAGUACUAUGGUCGGCACACCCCUUAUGGCCAAGUUCCUGGACCUUUUGCAAAGUUCUUACAGGAGCAUGGCAUAGUAGCCCAGUAUUCUACACCGGGCGAGCCUCAGCAGAAUGGAGUAGCUGAAAGACGCAACCGUACCCUGAUGGAUAUGGUGCGAAGUAUGAUUAGUUACUCUACAUUACCACUAAGUUUGUGGAUGGAGGCAUUAAAAAACCGCCAUUCACAUUCUAAACGGAGUUCCCAGUAAAUCGGUGCCUAAAACACCGUACGAGUUGUGGACAGGAAGAGUUCCCUCGCUAAGCCACUUGCGUGUGUGGGGGAGCCCAGCUGAGGCUAAAGUAUUUAACCCAAACAUUGGAAAGCUAGAUCCCAAAACAGUCAGUUGCCAUUUCAUUGGCUACCCAGAAAAAUCAAAGGGUUAUCGUUUCUACUGUCCAGACAGAUAUACAAAGUUUGUAGAAACGAGACACGCCGUAUUUCUAGAGGAUGAGCUGAUCAGGGGGAGCGUGGUAGCUCGAAAGAUUGAUCUUGAAGAGAAGCGGGUGUAUGCACCCACUCCGAUGAUUCAAGAGCCAUUUUUUGAAUUACCCAUAGUGAAUGCACCAACAGUGCCCGACACUGUGAUGCCAGAAACAAUUGCUCACUCUCCUGUGGCAACAACAGAUGAAAAUGAGGAACCUGUCCUUCAGGAGCCCAUAGAAGAACCAGUUGCCACAGGCGAGGGGGAGCAACAACAGCCCCAACCAGAUCAAGUGCCAACUGUGGAGGCACCGAGAAGAUCUCAAAGAAUCAGAAGGUCAGCUAUCCCAGAUGACUAUGAAGUUUUUAACACAGAGGAAUUUCAUAUGGAGGGUGAUCCCACCUCAUAUGAUGAGGCCAUGAGAAGCGCCAACUCACAGAAGUGGCUAGAAGCUAUGAUAGAAGAGAUGAAAUCCAUGAACUCCAAUGGAGUUUGGGAUUUAGAAGAAAUUCCUAAAGGAGCCAAAACAGUAGGCUGUAAAUGGGUCUACAAAACCAAGUAUGACUCCCAAGGGAACGUAGAAAGAUUUAAAGCGCGACUUGUGGCAAAAGGCUUUACGCAAAGAGAAGGGAUUGAUUACAAUGAGACUUUUUCUCCAGUCUCAUGUAAGGAUUCCUUCAGGAUCAUAAUGGCUCUAGUAGCACAUUAUGAUUUAGAAUUACAUCAGAUGGAUGUUAAGACGGCUUUCCUACAUGGGGAUUUGGAGGAAAAUGUUUACAUGGCACAACCGAAAGGUUUUGUCAUGGAAGGAAAAGAGCGAAUGGGAUGCCGCCUAAAGAAAUCCAUUUAUGGAUUAAAACAAGCUUCAAGACAGUGGUAUUUGAAGUUUGAUGAGACCAUAAGAAGUUUUGGGUUUAAACAGAAUGUAGAGGACAACUGUGUUUAUGCAAAGUUUAAGAAUGGGAAGUACAUCUUCCUAAUCUUGUAUGUGGAUGAUAUCCUACUCGCAAGUAGCGAUGUCGGUCUACUGCAGGAAACAAAGAAAUUCUUGUCCUCGAAAUUUGACAUGAAAGAUCUUGGUGAAGCAUCAUAUGUUUUGGGCAUAGAGAUUCACCGAGAUAGAACGAAGGGGGUAUUGGGAUUAUCACAGAAAGCAUAUAUAGAAAAAGUUCUAGAGAGAUACAAUAUGCACAAAUGUAGUGCAUCACCUGCACCGAUAGUCAAGGGCGACAGAUAUGGGGAUUUUCAGUGUCCCAAGAAUGAGUAUGAGCUCAACCAGAUGAGAUCAGUUCCAUAUGCUUCGGCUGUUGGAAGUUUACAGUACGCUCAAGUAUGUACUCGCCCUGACUUAGCUUUUGUUACCGGGUUGCUUGGCAGAUUUCAGAGUAAUCCAGGUGUGGAACACUGGAAAUUAGUAAAGAAGGUCUUGCGUUAUUUGCAAGGAACAAAGAGCCUCAUGCUUACAUACAAGAGAUCAGAUUCCCUACAGAUAGUAGGAUAUUCAGAUUCAGAUUAUGCGGGAGAUAACAGAAAGUCCACGUCAGGCUAUGUAUUUACUCUCGCAAAUGGAGCCAUAUCGUGGAAAAGCAAAUUACAGACGGUCACUACAUCGUCCACAAUGUAUGCCGAAUUUGUAGCAUGUUUUGAGGCGUCGGGGCAGGUGAACUGGUUAAAGAAGUUCAUACCCGGUUUGAGAGUGGUUGAUAACAUCUCUAAACCACUACAGUUAUACUGCGAUAAUAAUCCAGCAGUAGAAUAUGCACACAACAAUAGGUCAAGUGGUGCUGCCAAACACAUUGACAUAAAGUACUAUGUUGUGAAAGAUAAGAUCCGGGAUCAUGUCAUAAAGCUUGAGCAUAUAAGCACUGAAAAGAUGCUUGCGGAUCCGCUUACCAAAGGCUUACCACCCAGCGUGUUUAGAGAACACGUAGCCGGCAUGGGUUUAAGGGAAAGCCUAUGACUCCUGGACAAAGAGGCCCAAAGAAUAACAGAAUUUGUUUCAGAUCAGAGAAGUGUAUUCGUAGCUGUCAAGUCUAUCGGCGAUAGACCGUGAUGAUGACGCAGUUCUAUGCACUAAUUUGUGAUGAAAUAAAUAAGGUAAAAGAGUUUGAAAAGAAAGAAUACAGACAAAGAAUAGAGUGAGAUCAAGGGGGAGAAUGUUGGUUUGAUCUCCCACCAAUAUGGCCCAACGGCCUUAUUGGGCCUUGUCUCGCGCCCUGAUCGGGGGCGCCCAACCCUAUAUGGUUGGUGGGCCCCCGUCGCACUGCGCUAUAAAUAAGAGGUGGGGGCCGGCGGCACUGUUCACGAGUUGAACUGUGGCCACUCCUCCCACCGACAUCCAAACCCGAGAAAAUCCUAAUCCGAUCUAGGGUGCGCAGCCAGCGGCGGGAAUACUCACCGACAUCGGAUCCACGGCGUCCCGACGUCCGCACCGACACCACCGUCAGCGUCAUCGCGGAUCUUCAUCACCAGCGACGUCAUGGCUUCGGGAUCGACCUCCGCCGCGCCUGCUGCUCCUUCCGUCGAUGGUCUAACCCUAUCAACCCGAUCUAUUUAUUCUUUUGCAUUUACAGUACUUGUAGUAGAUCUCGUAUAAGAUAUGCUUUUGUUGUUUACAAAAGAAAAGAUAUGUCCCGUCUAGAUCUAUUACUAGUUGAUCCUGUACAGUUUUAAUCUAUCA